RNAcentral lists this ribosomal RNA (465 nucleotides) under Vreelandella stevensii. RNAcentral's name for it is "partial 16S ribosomal RNA". It matches the Rfam family "Bacterial small subunit ribosomal RNA", at positions 338 to 795 of the family's 1533-position model. The record is from RNAcentral. Lineage: Bacteria; Pseudomonadati; Pseudomonadota; Gammaproteobacteria; Oceanospirillales; Halomonadaceae.
CCUACGGGGGGCAGCAGUGGGGAAUAUUGGACAAUGGGGGCAACCCUGAUCCAGCCAUGCCGCGUGUGUGAAGAAGGCCCUCGGGUUGUAAAGCACUUUCAGUGAGGAAGAACGCCUGGUGGUUAAUACCCAUCAGGAAAGACAUCACUCACAGAAGAAGCACCGGCUAACUCCGUGCCAGCAGCCGCGGUAAUACGGAGGGUGCGAGCGUUAAUCGGAAUUACUGGGCGUAAAGCGCGCGUAGGUGGCUUGAUAAGCCGGUUGUGAAAGCCCCGGGCUCAACCUGGGAACGGCAUCCGGAACUGUCAAGCUAGAGUGCAGGAGAGGAAGGUAGAAUUCCCGGUGCAGCGGUGAAAUGCGUAGAGAUCGGGAGGAAUACCAGUGGCGAAGGCGGCCUUCUGGACUGACACUGACACUGAGGUGCGAAAGCGUGGGUAGCAAACAGGAUUAGAUACCCCGGUAGUC